Molecule: ribosomal RNA, 500 nt
Filed under: uncultured bacterium
Lineage: Bacteria
Description: partial 16S ribosomal RNA
Rfam family: Bacterial small subunit ribosomal RNA
Source: RNAcentral
AUUGAACGCUGGCGGAAUGCUUUACACAUGCAAGUCGAACGGCAGCACGGACUUCGGUCUGGUGGCGAGUGGCGAACGGGUGAGUAAUGUAUCGGAACGUGCCCAGUCGUGGGGGAUAACGUAGUGAAAAUUACGCUAAUACCGCAUACGAUCUAUGGAUGAAAGCGGGGGAUCGCAAGACCUCGCGCGAUUGGAGCGGCCGAUAUCAGAUUAGGUAGUUGGUGGGGGAAAGGCCCACCAAGCCAACGAUCUGAAGCUGGUCUGAGAGGACGACCAGACACACUGGAACUGAGACACGGUCCAGACUCCUACGGGAGGCAGCAGUGGGGAAUUUUGGACAAUGGGCGAAAGCCUGAUCCAGCCAUUCCGCGUGCAGGAUGAAGGCCCUCGGGUUGUAAACUGCUUUUGUACAGAACGAAAAGGUUUCUACUAAUACUAGGAGCUCAUGACGGUACUGUAAGAAUAAGCACCGGCUAACUACGUGCCAGCAGCCGCAGUAA